GCAAACUUGGUCAUUUAGAGGAAGUAAAAGUCGUAACAAGGUUUCCGUAGGUGAACCUGCGGAAGGAUCAUUAAAAAAAAACAAUCAUCCUUAAUACCAAUGUGCAUUUAUACAUGUGUGAUUGAGCCCUUUUUUCUUUUUUUUAAAAGAAGGGGGGUAAUAUAUCUCCAAAUAUUAAAUCCUUGAAUGUAUUGACUGAAAUUUUUUAAUAAAUUAAAUUUUUAAUACAACUUUCAACAACGGAUCUCUUGGCUCUCGCAUCGAUGAAGAACGCAGC
Molecule: unclassified non-coding RNA, 277 nt
Filed under: uncultured fungus
Lineage: Eukaryota; Fungi
Description: partial contains small subunit ribosomal RNA, internal transcribed spacer 1, and 5.8S ribosomal RNA
Rfam family: Eukaryotic small subunit ribosomal RNA (bases 1-73)
Source: RNAcentral